ACCAAAAUGAAUGAUUAAGGGUCU
This 24-nucleotide non-coding RNA is filed under the name Arabidopsis thaliana (thale cress). Lineage: Eukaryota; Viridiplantae; Streptophyta; Magnoliopsida; Brassicales; Brassicaceae. The record is from RNAcentral.